AUUGAACGCUGGCGGCAUGCUUUACACAUGCAAGUCGAACGGCGGAACGGGCUUCGGCCUGGUGGCAAGUGGCGAACGGGUGAGUAAUAUAUCGGAAAGCACCCCGGAGAGGGGGAUCACGUCGCGAAAACUACGCUUAUACCGCAUACGAUCUACGGAUGAACGCAGGGGAGCGCAAGGCCAGCUGCUCCUGGAGCGGCCGAUAGCUGAUUAGCUAGUUGGUGAGGUAAAGGCUCACCAAGGCGACGAUCAGUAGCUGGUCUGAGAGGACGACCAGCCACACUGGAACUGAGACACGGUCCAGACUCCUACGGGAGGCAGCAGUGGGGAAUUUUGGACAAUGGGCGCAAGCCUGAUCCAGCAAUGCCGCGUGAGUGAAGAAGGCCUUCGGGUUGUAAAGCUCUUUUGUCAGGGAAGAAACGGUAGAGGCUAAUAUCCUUUGCUAAUGACGGUACCUGAAGAAUAAGCACCGGCUAACUACGUG
This 484-nucleotide ribosomal RNA is filed under the name uncultured bacterium. Its description in RNAcentral is "partial 16S ribosomal RNA". It matches the Rfam family "Bacterial small subunit ribosomal RNA", at positions 30 to 507 of the family's 1533-position model. The record is from RNAcentral.